Molecule: small RNA, 127 nt
Filed under: Arabidopsis thaliana (thale cress)
Lineage: Eukaryota; Viridiplantae; Streptophyta; Magnoliopsida; Brassicales; Brassicaceae
Description: ATSL307120
Source: RNAcentral
AAGUGUUAAAAAUUUAUAUGUGUAAAACAUAUUGAACCUAGAACACCUCUAAAAGACCUCAUACUAUGGACGGGAUGUUGUGUCCAAUUAGUUUACACAUAUUUAAAAUUUAACACUUAAAAACAAA